RNAcentral lists this long non-coding RNA (206 nucleotides) under Elaeis guineensis (African oil palm). RNAcentral's name for it is "long non-coding RNA (EGUI_LNC039695)". Lineage: Eukaryota; Viridiplantae; Streptophyta; Magnoliopsida; Arecales; Arecaceae. The record is from RNAcentral.
CAGUAGAACAAUAAAAGUCCUCUACCACUCCUUAGGCAUCCUCUCUAUACUGAAAAAAUCCCGCACCAUCUAUACGAUCUCGUGCUAGACGAUGAUCUAGUACCUCCUAAAGAAAAAGAAGAGAAAAGCCAUCGAGAUCUGUAGCCUUGUCCUCUACCAAUGACCACAACACCCUCUGAAUCUCCUCAACUGCUACCACCCUAGUC